This 253-nucleotide ribosomal RNA is filed under the name uncultured bacterium. Its description in RNAcentral is "partial 16S ribosomal RNA". It matches the Rfam family "Bacterial small subunit ribosomal RNA", at positions 524 to 776 of the family's 1533-position model. The record is from RNAcentral.
UACGUAGGGGGCUAGCGUUGCUCGGAAUCACUGGGCGUAAAGGGUGCGUAGGCGGGUCUUUAAGUCAGGGGUGAAAUCCUGGAGCUCAACUCCAGAACUGCCUUUGAUACUGAAGAUCUUGAGUUCGGGAGAGGUGAGUGGAACUGCGAGUGUAGAGGUGAAAUUCGUAGAUAUUCGCAAGAACACCAGUGGCGAAGGCGGAUCUCUGGGCCUGUCCUGACGCUCAGGCGCGAAAGCUAGGGGAGCAAACAGG